This 301-nucleotide ribosomal RNA is filed under the name uncultured bacterium. RNAcentral describes it as "partial 16S ribosomal RNA". It matches the Rfam family "Bacterial small subunit ribosomal RNA", at positions 509 to 807 of the family's 1533-position model. The record is from RNAcentral.
CAGCCGCCGCGGUAAUACGGAGGGUGCAAGCGUUAUCCGGAUUCACUGGGUUUAAAGGGUGCGUAGGCGGGCAGGUAAGUCAGUGGUGAAAUUUUCGAGCUUAACUCGGAAACUGCCGUUGAUACUAUCUGUCUUGAAUAACGUUGAGGUGAGCGGAAUAUGUCAUGUAGCGGUGAAAUGCUUAGAUAUGACAUAGAACACCGAUUGCGAAGGCAGCUCACUAAACGCUCAUUGACGCUGAGGCACGAAAGCGUGGGGAGCAAACAGGAUUAGAUACCCCAGUAGUCCCUGUCUCUUAUAC